ACGUGAGAGAAUGGUUACCGCGGCUGCUGGCACGGAGUUAGCCGGUGCUUCUUCUGUGAGUGAUGUCCUUCCUGCCGGUUAUUGACCCGCAGGCCUUCUUCCUCACUGAAAGUGCUUUACAACCCGAAGGCCUUCUUCACACACGCGGCAUGGCUGGAUCAGGGUUGCCCCCAUUGUCCAAUAUUCCCCACUGCUGCCUCCCGUAGGAGUCUGGGCCGUGUCUCAGUCCCAGUGUGGCUGAUCAUCCUCUCAGACCAGCUACGGAUCGUCGCCUUGGUGAGCCGUUACCUCACCAACCAGCUAAUCCGACAUAGGCUCAUCCGAUAGCGCGAGGCCCGAAGGUCCCCCGCUUUCCCCCGUAGGGCGUAUGCGGUAUUAGCCUGGGUUUCCCCAGGUUAUCCCCCACUACCGGGCAGAUUCCUAUGCAUUACUCACCCGUCCGCCGCUCGCCACCAGGGAGCAAGCUCCCCGUGCUGCCGCUCGACUUGCAUGUGUUAGGCCUGCCGCCAGCGUUCAAU
Molecule: ribosomal RNA, 518 nt
Filed under: uncultured bacterium
Lineage: Bacteria
Description: partial 16S ribosomal RNA
Source: RNAcentral